GACAAGACAAGACAAGACAAGACAAACACAAGACAAACACAGACAAGACAAACACAAGACAAGACAAGACAAACACAAGACAAGACAAACACAAGACAAACAAGACAAGACAAACACAAGACAAGACAAGACAAACACAAGACAAGACAAACAAGACAAGACAAGACAAGACAAGACAAGACAAACACAAGACAAGACAAACACAAAACAAGACAAAACAAACACAAGACAAACACAAGACAAGACAAGACAAGACAAGACAAAGACAAGACAAACACAAGACAAGACAAACACAAGACAAACACAAGACAAGACAAACACAAGACAAGACAAACACAAGACAAGACAAACACAAGGCAAGACAAACACAAGACAAACACAAGACAAACACAAGACAAGACAAGACAAACAAGACAAGACAAGACAAACACAAAGACAAGACAAGACAAACACGACAAGACAAGACAAACACGACAAGACAAGACAAACAUGACAAGACAAGACAAACACGACAAGACAAGACAAACACGACAAGACAAACAAGACAAGACAAACACAAGACAAGACAAACACAAGACAAGACAAAGACAAGACAAGACAAACAAGACAAGACAAGACAAGACAAGACAAACACGACAAGAC
Oncorhynchus tshawytscha (Chinook salmon) is the source of this 642-nucleotide long non-coding RNA. The record is from Ensembl. NCBI's taxonomy places the organism in Eukaryota, Metazoa, Chordata, Actinopteri, Salmoniformes, Salmonidae.